RNAcentral lists this ribosomal RNA (497 nucleotides) under uncultured bacterium. Its description in RNAcentral is "partial 16S ribosomal RNA". It matches the Rfam family "Bacterial small subunit ribosomal RNA", at positions 28 to 507 of the family's 1533-position model. The record is from RNAcentral.
GAUGAACGCUGGCGGCGUGCCUAACACAUGCAAGUCGAACGGACGGACGAGAAGCUUUCUUGUCUCGUUUUCGCGUCGGGCGGGUGAGUGACAUGUGGGGAACGUAGCUUUAAGACUGGGAUAACUUCGUGAAACCGGAGCCUAUACCCGAUUAUAUUUUGAACCGCAUGGUGGAGAAGUGUAAGGCGUUCUUGCUUCGACUUAUAGAUGAUUCCACUCGGCAUUAGCUGGUUGGUAGGGUAACGGCUGACCAAGGCGACGAUGCCUAGCCGAUCUGAGAGGAUGACCGGCCACACUGGAACUGAGACACGGUCCAGACUCCUACGGGAGGCAGCAGUAGGGAAUAUUGCGCAAUGGGCGCAAGCCUGAUGCAGCCAUGCCGCGUGUAUGAAGAAGGCCUUCGGGUUGUAAAGUUCUUUCAGCGGGGAAGAAGAGAGUAGAAUUAAUACCUUCGCUCAUUGACGGUACCCACAGAAGAAGCACCGGCUAACUACGUG